AUGCUCACUGUGGCAGCACGUACACUAAAACUGGAAUGAUGCAGAGAAGAUGAGCAUGGUAUCUGUGCAAGAAUGACACACAUUUGUGAAGUGUUCCAUAUUAAA
This is a small nuclear RNA of Cercocebus atys (sooty mangabey), 105 nucleotides long. Lineage: Eukaryota; Metazoa; Chordata; Mammalia; Primates; Cercopithecidae. The record is from Ensembl.